GGGGAUAUAGCUCAGUGGUAUAAGCUCCUGCCUUGCAAGUGUGAGGUCAUGAGUUUGAUCCCCGAUAUCCCCC
RNAcentral lists this transfer RNA (73 nucleotides) under Cavia porcellus (domestic guinea pig). It matches the Rfam family "tRNA". Rfam says of the family: Transfer RNA (tRNA) molecules are approximately 80 nucleotides in length. Their secondary structure includes four short double-helical elements and three loops (D, anti-codon, and T loops). Further hydrogen bonds mediate the characteristic L-shaped molecular structure. tRNAs have two regions of fundamental functional importance: the anti-codon, which is responsible for specific mRNA codon recognition, and the 3' end, to which the tRNAs corresponding amino acid is attached (by aminoacyl-tRNA synthetases). tRNAs cope with the degeneracy of the genetic code in two manners: having more than one tRNA (with a specific anti-codon) for a particular amino acid; and 'wobble' base-pairing, i.e. permitting non-standard base-pairing at the 3rd anti-codon position. Lineage: Eukaryota; Metazoa; Chordata; Mammalia; Rodentia; Caviidae. The record is from Rfam by way of RNAcentral.